UGCCGUGUAGCUCAGCGGUAGAGCAGCGUCUUGAUAAGGCGAGGGCCGCUGGUUCGAAUCCAGCCCCGGCAACCA
RNAcentral lists this transfer RNA (75 nucleotides) under Hydrogenophaga sp. RNAcentral describes it as "tRNA-Ile". It matches the Rfam family "tRNA". Rfam says of the family: Transfer RNA (tRNA) molecules are approximately 80 nucleotides in length. Their secondary structure includes four short double-helical elements and three loops (D, anti-codon, and T loops). The record is from RNAcentral. Lineage: Bacteria; Pseudomonadati; Pseudomonadota; Betaproteobacteria; Burkholderiales; Comamonadaceae.